UCUGUGUCUGCAUUUUGUACACCUACACAACCCUGCAUCUUUCAGGCUCGGCUCUGCUCUGCUCUGCUCUUUAGUCUUGUCACAAUCUCAACAGCUUGCAAUUCUUGUCUUCAUUCUCAACCAUUAGCCCUAAUUUUUUAAUAUAAAUAAGAACAAGAUGUGGAUCUCAAAUCACUUUAACUCACACAUCUUCAGACGAACGGAAACAGAGUUGUGCGGGGUCGCACGGACGAGCUCGGACUCGUGGCAGUAAUGGUUGUUUCCGGAGCAACCGGCAAGAGGAGUGCGGCGUCCGGUAUGUGAUAAUCGUGUAUGGUGGGUGGAUCUCUUCCAUACAAAACUGUAAAUGGCAUCAUCCAGUGGAAAGAGGUGUUAUGCCAAAUGGUGUGAAUGGUUGGUCACUGACAAAACAGAGAAGCUUGAUUUUGCAAUCAACGCCCUUGUGUCAUUAAACAUGGUGGUUACAAUGUUGGUGGCAUUUGUGCUGAAAGGCACGGUACCAAGAAAUUCUCUAGAACGGAUGGACUAUGUGCGGAUGUUGUCUCAAGAGAUUGCUACUGAUUACUCGCCCGCAUCAGCAUAUUUUUGUUUGAGUUCCUCUAUUCAGCUUGUAUGUUAUAUCUCAGAAAUAUAAGGUCUGAGUUGCCUCCUCAAGAAUGAAUAUAGAGAAGAGAGUUGCAUAAUAUUUCAUUGAUACUUAGAAUUGGAAAAUACAACAGAUAUAUAGGAAAAAUAUCUAGAGGAUCUUAACAGAAUCCAGCUAAGGAUAUGACAGCAAGGAAAAUAUAACAAACCAGCAAGGAAAAUAUAACAAACUAGUGGUGACUCACGGGUUCUAGAAACAACAUAAAAUGGUAAUCUAUUUGUAAACUAUGUGAUUUGUGAACAUAAUUGGCAUCCUUCUAUUACGCGGAGACCUUUCCUUAACAGGCUUAACAUCAUUAGCAGUAAUAGGCCCAUCUUCUGAACUUGGACUUAUAACAAUACCAAUCCUAUCAAAAUUAACUUUGUCCUUAAGGUUAUAAUUCUAUUUAAGAGCUUCUUUUGCAAUACCAGCCUUUGACCCCGACCUACCAAUCUGUGAUAAUUGUUUUGCGGGUUAAUAGAAACAUGCUGUAUAGAGGGAAGAAAAGGCCUUAUAAAUCCAUGUAUUUUCUUUUUCAUUUCUCUAAUAUAGAGAAAUGAAUAGUGAUUUGAUGCACAUAUUUGCAAAACACACAUAACAAACAAACUAAUUAGUAAUAAAAAAUAAACUCAAUUGAAAUUGAAAUUGUUAAUCAUAUUAUUAAUUGAAAUUCGCAAUUAGUAAAGACACAUUAUAAAUACCUACCUCAUUGAAAUUGUUCUUUUUUAAUAUUGAAAUUGUUCUUUUUUAAUAGCGAAGUACUCAGCAUAAGAGCAUACCCAGAAUUGGAGGGGGGUAAAUUAUGAAAAGGAGUAGAUUAAAUCAUGAGAUAAUUCGGUUGGGUGUCUGUCCUCUUUUUUGUAAAUACCUUGCCCUCUUUUUUGUCCUUCUUUUGGGUGUCUGUUGACAUAUAUUAAAUUAAUAAAAAACAAUUUAAAAAAAAGCAAUUCUAAAGGUUUCAUCUAAGUAAUCUAACCUCCACAUAAUUUGGUUUAACGGACCAAUGCCUAAGUUUUGGCAACCUAGCCCUAUGUUUUCUUAUAUGAACAUUAUCUAUGUUUUCUAAUUCAAGUUAAUUUUGAUGGCUACUUCCAUGACAAUACAUCUUCCUUGUUAUUUUCUUUCAUGAAAGUUUUCACUCUCUUCCUUAACUUCCUUUUGGGACUAUGACUCUUCCUUUUAGGACUAGGACACUUGUGAAUCUUCCCUCCUUUCUACUUUUAGGACAAAGAUAGUUGUGAAUCUUCCUUCCUCUCUCGAUUAGAA
Long non-coding RNA from Vicia villosa (hairy vetch), 1891 nucleotides. RefSeq lists it as uncharacterized. The record is from RefSeq and is a predicted model, not a curated record. The transcript is spliced from 3 exons. Lineage: Eukaryota; Viridiplantae; Streptophyta; Magnoliopsida; Fabales; Fabaceae.